GGGCGGGGCUUCAAAUCACCUGUCAGUCUAAACGUUGCAAAAGUUUGAGGGUGCUUGGAUUACCUUUGGGAGCCGCUGCUUAAAUUUUCUUACUAAAUUUUACUAAACUGUUCAGCUCGAACUGUUUCAACACGACAGAGCACAUCUCACACACCGCGACGACAGAUGUAGCCUUUUACAAACUUCAGGCUCAAACAAAGAGAACCAAACAAGACAACAGUCUCAUGUGCCUGUUUCGGGGCAACGUUGUAUUGGAUUGUAACCUCCAACACUCUCUCCCGACACAAACUUGAUGUGUCACCGUGAUUGGCACGGAGGAGAUGACAUGACAGAGCUGGUUUUGGGGGACUGACAGGUAGUUGGCAGGUUAAGGCUCCCCUGUUGGGCGCUGCUCUGCCUCAGGACAGUCACCUGUCAACCCAGGUGAAGGCUCGUCAUAGCUGAUGACCGCGAGCAGCAGAGUGGAUAUAAUGGGAUGAGCAGACUGACACAGACGUGGUGCAGGACUCCCUUUGUCUGUGGGGCGUAGGAGUGGACCUCGUUUCAGUCAAGCAUGCUGAACAACCAGCACCAAGAGUCUUGGCACCGUGGGUGACGUGCUGGCGUCUGAAUUGUGAGCACAUGAUUGAUCCGAGUGGUGUUCAGUCUUAUGAUGCCAAGUGUUUAUAGUCUGUUCAUUUUAUAAUGCU
Molecule: long non-coding RNA, 689 nt
Organism: Pungitius pungitius (ninespine stickleback)
Lineage: Eukaryota; Metazoa; Chordata; Actinopteri; Perciformes; Gasterosteidae
Exons: 3
Source: RefSeq, a predicted model, not a curated record